GACGAACGCUGGCGGCGUGCUUAACACAUGCAAGUCGAACGGAAAGGCCCUGCUUUUGUGGGGUGCCCGAGUGGCGAACGGGUGAGUAACACGUGAGUAACCUGCCCUUGACUUUGGGAUAACUUCAGGAAACUGGGGCUAAUACCGGAUAGGAGCUCCUGCUGCAUGGUGGGGGUUGGAAAGUCUCGGCGGUUGGGGAUGGACUCGCGGCUUAUCAGCUUGUUGGUGGGGUAGUGGCUUACCAAGGCUUUGACGGGUAGCCGGCCUGAGAGGGUGACCGGAUAUAGUGGUUGUGCGAGGCGGAGCAGAUUGGGAUGGGAGGGAACAGAGGCAGGUGGUGCUGAAUGGGAGGAAGCCAGGUAGAGCGACACGGUGUGCGGGAAGUUGGCCAUCGGGUUGUUGACAGCUUUGGAGUGUAGCAAAGCUGGAGUGACGGUAAUGGGUAGAGGAGCACCGGCUAACUACGUG
RNAcentral lists this ribosomal RNA (468 nucleotides) under uncultured bacterium. Its description in RNAcentral is "partial 16S ribosomal RNA". It matches the Rfam family "Bacterial small subunit ribosomal RNA", at positions 28 to 507 of the family's 1533-position model. The record is from RNAcentral.